This 764-nucleotide long non-coding RNA is filed under the name Homo sapiens (human). RNAcentral's name for it is "non-protein coding lnc-TNFRSF13B-3:1". The record is from RNAcentral. Lineage: Eukaryota; Metazoa; Chordata; Mammalia; Primates; Hominidae.
GUGGUAGUGGCAGCCACAGCAGCUGUCGCUCAGGGAAUGGAGGAGGUUUUAGGAGGAGAAGUAGCAAAUGCUUCCAGAGCUGUGUACUUUUCCACGGAUCAUCUGAUAACCACCGCUUCCAAGAGGCAGAACUUCAUCCUCAUCCUCUAAUGGACUAUGGAAAGAAGAAAAACAGUCCUUUUACAGUGAAGAAACUCAGCAGAUGCUCCCUCAACAUCGCUGGUGGUAAGUCUUGUGGCUACUGGGUACCCCCUGAUACAAUGACAGGGGCACCUCACCUCUGUGAUCUUUUACCCAAAAACUAAUAACCUCAGUCUCAUGAGAAAAACAUCAGACAAACUCAGAUGAGGGGCAUUCUACAAAAUACGUGAGCAGCACUCUUCGAAUGUGUCAAGGUCGUGAAAAACAAGAAAAGACUCAGAACUGUUAGGGACCAGAGGAGCCUCAGGAGAUGACGGAGACUGAAUGCCAUGUGGGAUGCCGGAUGAGAUCAUGGAACAGAAAAAGGGCAUUAGUGGGAAACUGGCGAAAUCCUAAUAGAGUCUGUCGUCCAGCUAAUAAUGUUUUACUAAUGUUAACUUUUUAGUUUUGACAAAUGUAGCAUGAUUAUGUAAGAUGUUCACAUUAGGGGAAGGUGGGGGAAGAGUAUGGGAACUUUGUGGAACUUUGCUGUAAAUCUAAAAUCACUAAACAAAAAUUAUUCAAAAAAUCAGGGUGUAGAUAUUUAUUAGUAUAGAAAUGUAUUCACAACAUAUUAAGGGGAA